CAGGAGACAGAAGACACACUACAGAAUCUGGA
RNAcentral lists this non-coding RNA (32 nucleotides) under Homo sapiens (human). The record is from RNAcentral. Lineage: Eukaryota; Metazoa; Chordata; Mammalia; Primates; Hominidae.